This 520-nucleotide ribosomal RNA is filed under the name uncultured bacterium. Its description in RNAcentral is "bacterial SSU rRNA". It matches the Rfam family "Bacterial small subunit ribosomal RNA", at positions 988 to 1509 of the family's 1533-position model. The record is from RNAcentral.
CCAGAGAACUUUCCAGAGAUGGAUUGGUGCCUUCGGGAACUCUGAGACAGGUGCUGCAUGGCUGUCGUCAGCUCGUGUUGUGAAAUGUUGGGUUAAGUCCCGCAACGAGCGCAACCCUUAUCCUUUGUUGCCAGCGGUUAGGCCGGAACUCAAAGGAGACUGCCAGUGAUAAACUGGAGGAAGGUGGGGAUGACGUCAAGUCAUCAUGGCCCUUACGAGUAGGGCUACACACGUGCUACAAUGGCGCAUACAAAGAGAAGCGACCUCGCGAGAGCAAGCGGACCUCAUAAAGUGCGUCGUAGUCCGGAUUGGAGUCUGCAACUCGACUCCAUGAAGUCGGAAUCGCUAGUAAUCGUGGAUCAGAAUGCCACGGUGAAUACGUUCCCGGGCCUUGUACACACCGCCCGUCACACCAUGGGAGUGGGUUGCAAAAGAAGUAGGUAGCUUAACCUUCGGGAGGGCGCUUACCACUUUGUGAUUCAUGACUGGGGUGAAGUCGUAACAAGGUAAGCGUAGUGCU